UUACAUUAUUCUUAACCAAAUUAUUUUUAUACCCUACUAGCAUACAUUGUAAUGUUUUGCCACUUUUUAUGUCUUCCGAAAUUUUUAUGGUUGGCCUCAUGUGUACUCAUGGUUCAACAAAUCUGCCAUGGUUCUAGAUUUGUAGGUUGGCACGGUAGAUUUAUAUAAGAGUGUGGAUUUUGUACACCCAAGUAUGAGUGUGGGUGUGUUACUUGCCGUUCGUCUAAUCCUCGAGAUCCGUGCAUAGUGAAGUAACGUUGGACAUUUUGUUUUGCGUUUGCAAUUGUCCAGUCCCAUCCAAAUCUCCUUUUUUCCUGGCUUUUUUCACCAUCUGACCAGUGUCUCUGUCGGGACGUUUAGCUCUAGGUACAGUUGCUGCCGCUGUCCAAAAAGUAGUACUACUAGACCUGCCCUCCAUUCCUCGUGCUCUUGCCGCCGGCAGAGACUUCUCAUUUUUCCCGCGUCGGCCAUCUUCUCCAGGUGCGGCGAGAGCUCCGGCGUACCAGCCAACUCCACCCGGCCGCCGGUAGGCGUGCAGUAGAGCCGUCUACACUGCGCCGCUGACGCGCAGGCACAGGACGCCGUCCUCGUCGCCACCGAGCCGUCUACGUCGUCGUCGUGCGCCAUCGCCAGCGAGCCGUCCACACUGCGCUGCCGAUGCGCAGGCAAUGGUCGCAGGGGCAACUCCAGAGCGGGCACCCCAUUGUUUUGGAAGGGGGCGAAUCGUCAAAUGUCUACUCCGCCGGCGCUCCUCCCUCGCGCGCGGUGGUCUCCGGCUGGAGCGGCACGACACCCUAGACGGUGGGCUGCUGCCGGCGGGAGCAAGGCCACCGGAGAUGUGGAUGCGGUGCCUAUUGCCUCCACGGAUGCGUGGAUGUGUGCGGACUGGCGCAUCACGGCAUCGUGUUGGAGGAUGUCGCUGAGCGUCACGCUGGCGGCGUCCCCGGCAGCCGCGUCCGCGACGAGGGCGCUGUUGAAUGCGCCAGAGAUGGACUUUUAAGCAGCGCAGGAGGUGUUCCCAUGCCUGCGGACGCCGCCGAGCUGAUGCCUUCGGCCGACUCGGGAACGCGGAGGCACACCAGCAACGCCGUGGGUGCCGUGACCAGAGGUCGCCGAGGGCAGCGCCGUGCACAGGCGCGACAUGUCCGUGCAGCCUACCUUUUUGUUCUUGCGUUGAUGUUGCGUCUGUGCGGAGGAAACAGAGAAACAGCAGAGAUGCCAUCGCUGACAUGAUGUCGAGCUUUGUCUAUGCGGAGGAAGCAGCGGCGCCGUCUUAUCUCUCUCCCAAAAAUUCUUCAUAUUUUCCCUAACUUUUCUUGAACGCAAAUGGUGAAUUGAUGUUGUAUGGAGUGAUUUCCUUGUUGCUGUCUCCUCUCGGUUUGGUUCUUGUUAAUGCAUUAAACUUGUGCUUUAAAA
Lolium perenne is the source of this 1416-nucleotide long non-coding RNA. RefSeq lists it as uncharacterized. Lineage: Eukaryota; Viridiplantae; Streptophyta; Magnoliopsida; Poales; Poaceae. The record is from RefSeq and is a predicted model, not a curated record.